ACGAUCCGCUGGAGGAAUUCGGCGGGUCGAGCAGCAUCUGUGUGAGGAAUGGGUCGAAACUCCGCACCAGGACCCCAAAACGUCCAACAAUUCCUUUCCUCCCACAGGUGCUACCCGACCAGCUGAGUUCCUCCCGCAGAUUGUUUGCUACUUGUGAAGAAAGGCUGAUAGUUGCUCCUGAUUCCAGCAGUCUCUUGUGUCUCUGGCCUUCAGAAUCGACCCAAAGGUCAACAAACAAAAUAACCCAAAUGCUGCUUGACCCACUGAGUGAUUCCAGCAUCUUUUUUCACCCCUUGUUUCAGAUUCUCUGCUACAUUACAGAGAGUUGGUGGUCUGGUUCCAGCUGUUCAAGUGGUCAAAGUUGCCCCAAUUUUCAAAUUUGCCCACUUACUGUUUUGGCAAUUUUCUUCUGUCAAACCAUUAACAAAAAUUGAUGUUUUGCCACAUUGAUUCUACAAUUAAGUUGCAUGUCCAUCUUUCAGCAUUAAUAUAAUUCUGUUAGUAUAACUUAAAUUUUUGAUUUAAUUACUGAUCUGCUUGUAAGCAUGAAUUUUCAUUUUGUAACUGCCUGCCACAUUCUCGUUCUCUUAAUUCUACCUGUUAUUCCAUUAUGGCCACUGAAGCAUUUUUUUGCAAUGCUUCAGACUGCAGUGCAGUCUUUGCUCAAUUCUGCUGUUUUGUGCUGCUUGUAUUUAUUAUCACCAUGAAUACUGUUACUCUGCAAGCUUCAUGGAAACAAGGAAAUUCACUGCACCCUUGAGUCGAUGAUAAUGCACUAAUCUGACAUCUAAAGUGGCACAUCAAAAUGCUUCUAUAUCUGGAAAGGCUCUUCUAGUGGCCUGUAGGCAAGAAAUGUAUGACUUCCAGUCAAAUCUUUCAAGCUUGUCAAUAUUCACCAGUAUGACGUGCCAACAACUCAGUGCUGGAAACAUUCAGCAGAUAAAAUGUGUGGAAAGAGAAACAGUUGAUGUUUCGAGUCAAAACCUUUCAUCAGAUAUCCCUAAUUCAGAUUGUCUCAAAACCAUAAUACUUAAAUCCAUUUCUGGAUAUUGAGUCUUUGACCUGAAAUAUUAACUUUUUUCUUUUCACAUAGUUACUUUUGCUUAUGGGAGCUUCAUAAAUUUAAUGUAGUGUGCAUUGCCUCUAAAAGAUCAUUUUAAACCUGGUAUUUGAAUCAACUUUUAUCCAAAGCUGUUUAGAGUGGAUUGUGCUUUGGACACUUGGAAUUCUGAAUUUGUAUUGGUGCUGGUUGUGGGGUGUUAUGGUUUUCUUCCAUUUGGCCCAAUAACCUAGGGAGAUUUGCUUACUGUUAAUCUGUUUGAAUGCACUAAUAUUCUAUAGUGGAAUAUAGAAAUAUUAGGAUUUUGUAUGACUGUAUUUGCCUAUUCUCUUAAUAAUAAUUGAAAACCAUUUGUGUGGUGACUGAACAAAUGGUAAGUCCAUUUAUUGAAGAUACUGCAGAUAUUUAUAUAGUGGGUGUUUGGGAUAAAUUCCGGGUUGUUCCACAGACACUAAGGCUGUGUACAACAAUUAGUGUUGUGGAGCCCAUUUUUUAAUCAAUUAACUAUGAUGGGGUUUCGCAUUCUUGUGGAAAUUAAAUUAAUUGUGCUAAAUCGAAUCUUCCUCCCUGAAAUCUGCAAAAAGUAGAAUCGUUGGAUUGAGAUGCUUGAACCAAGAUCAAUUGCAGCAGUUUCAGAAUGUGCAGUAUACAGAUGUACAAGACUGCCAUUGUCCAAAAGUGAAGACCUGCAGAAUGAUAGUGCGAAUACAUGACAAGAUCACACCACCUGGAAACUGGGAUUCUGAGAGCAGCCUAACUACUGAGCUGCGUUGAAUUCAUCUCCACUUCAGUUCAGAUGUUCUGCAGAAGAUGCAUUUCUGGCCACUUGGUAAUCAGGUUGGAUCACUUCCUUUCUGUUUGAGGUGUUUGAAUAAUAUGCAUCAACAGAAAUGAUCACUGGAUUGUGCUUGAAGAGGUUGAAGGAGUCACACAAGUAGAAGAUUUGAUGGUGAAUGAUGUUUGGGGGGAAAUUUCCCUUUUCUAGAAAAACUAGGGAGACUUGGAAAAACAGAAGACUGAACAAUGAACUUUGGAGCCACUGAUUCACAGCAGUUCAACCUAUACCAUUAUUGGACUCUAGUAGGUCUGAAAAUUUGAUGUGGUGGCUUUGAAUUGCUACAUCUUUCAAGGAAAGCAUUGAUCAAGAAAUUGGAAAUCCACUGAGUUUACAAAUUGCUCAACUUUAUGUAAAAGUAUAUAGGUCAUAAUUUUGUGUCAGGUUUGUGUGAAGUCAAAAUGAAAAUAAAGGAAUUAUUUAAGUCUGAACUGCUUGCUGCUUUAUGGUUUGGAAUGCAUUGGUAAAUGAAAGCUAAUAAAAUUCAAAUGUGCUUUUUUUUAUAUAUAAAGGUCACUUGUAAGUCCAUUGUGCUAAAAUUGUUCAUUGAAUGGCAACCUUUUUUUAAAAAAAACAAAACCUAGUCUAUUCACCCCACCCUGACUAUUGAUUUGAAUUGGAAGCCAGGUUUUCAUGAGACCCAUAUGUCCUUGGAACACCUUAGGGUUGUGGGUGAGGAUGUGUAAACAGUUAUUUAUUCAGGAUGGUCAAUUACUGGUUACUUUCCAGAUUGUAGAGGGAAAGUAUAAAUGGAGUAUGUACUGGACUGAAUUUUGAAUUUAUUUUUGAGCAUGCAGUUCAUUUUCCCACCAGUGCACUGCAAUUAAAGGCCUACUACACUUUAAAUGAGA
Molecule: long non-coding RNA, 2746 nt
Organism: Pristis pectinata (smalltooth sawfish)
Lineage: Eukaryota; Metazoa; Chordata; Chondrichthyes; Rhinopristiformes; Pristidae
Exons: 8
Source: RefSeq, a predicted model, not a curated record